This 274-nucleotide ribosomal RNA is filed under the name uncultured bacterium. RNAcentral describes it as "partial 16S ribosomal RNA". It matches the Rfam family "Bacterial small subunit ribosomal RNA", at positions 523 to 796 of the family's 1533-position model. The record is from RNAcentral.
AUACGAAAGGUGCAAGCGUUGUUCGGAUUUACUGGGCGUAAAGAGAGUGUAGGUGGUUUAUUAAGUCGGAUGUGAAAUCCCGGGGCUCAACCUCGGAACUGCAUUCGAUACUGAUAGGCUAGAGUUUGGGAGGGGUAAGCGGAAUUCCGUGUGUAGCAGUGAAAUGCGUAGAUAUACGGAGGAACACCUGAGGCGAAGGCGGCUCACUGGCUCGAUACUGACGCUGAGGUGCGAAAGCGUGGGGAGCAAACAGGAUUAGAAACCCCUGUAGUCC